CACACCACAGACCUCCACAUCAAUAAAACCAGCGGUUUUCAUGUUACUCCAGGGUCCUGUCUUCAGAAAGUAACACAGCCGCUCCCUUCAACAGCUGUGCAAAUGGCACAGUGGCACCUGUUUCCGGUUCCUUCCACACUCCUCUGAGUGUGGUGUGUCUCGUGUCUUUUCACAGUGCUCCAAGGCUGCUGUGGUCACUGCAGUGUGAAGGAGUCUGUUGCCCACCUCAGUCUGCAGGUUGUUGAACUUAUCAGGAUUGCAUGCUCAAUGAAACUCUGUUUCCUGGAGUCUGAACACCUCAGAGGUGACCAGUGUCUCUUCUUGAUUGACUGAGGUAUUUACUUGUUUCUGCUGUUCAUUCCAUGAAGGACCAGCCUGCCUACCAGUGUGUCAUUGUGGCUAGCCAGCCAAGGGAUUUUCCUGCUCCGUUUGGGUAGGAAGAGAACUUCAUUUUCCCUUAUACAUCUUCUGUGAAUCACUUGAGUCCUUGGAAUGGUCCUUCUGAAGUAUGGCAAGUGAAGAAUUGAUCCAAACCCUGGGUAGAGGGGAAAGAUACAGAUGCCAAGGACUGAUGUUGAAACUGAAGCUCCAAUACUUUGACCACCUGAUGUGAAGAGCCAAUGCAUUGGAAAAGACCCUGAUGCUGGGAAGGAUUGAAGGCGGGAGGAGAAGGGGAUGACAGAAGAUGAGAUGGUUGGAUGGCAUCACCGACUCUAUGGACAUGAGUUUGAGCAAGCUCUGGGAGGUACUGAAGGACAAGGAGGCCUGGCGUGCUGCAGUUCAUGAGAUUGUGAAGAGUCGGAUACGACUAAGUGACUGAACAACAAGAUGC
Molecule: long non-coding RNA, 832 nt
Organism: Bos taurus (domestic cattle)
Lineage: Eukaryota; Metazoa; Chordata; Mammalia; Artiodactyla; Bovidae
Source: Ensembl